RNAcentral lists this long non-coding RNA (1406 nucleotides) under Solanum tuberosum (potato). RNAcentral describes it as "long non-coding RNA (STUB_LNC006864)". The record is from RNAcentral. Lineage: Eukaryota; Viridiplantae; Streptophyta; Magnoliopsida; Solanales; Solanaceae.
CGACUCAGCCCAAAAUCGUAAGGCCCAAUCACUGUGUCGUCUUCCUCCCGUCCCUUUCCAAUUUGUACCAGCAUCAGGCACGCUCUCCGUCCCCCUUUCCCCUUUCGGAAUGAGUCAAAACCCCAAGGAAAAGGUGUUUGUCCGACUUGGUGAAGGAAUUCAAAUUUUUGAAUUUAGAAUUGGCCCCAAAUUUCUACCCGAUUCCCCCCGAAAUCUACCCUAAUUUCCCUUAUAUAAUCACCUCUUAUAUUUAUUUGUAAAGGGGGAUUUUUUUUUGAACAAAAAUACAAGGUAAGUUUUCUUGGCAGAAAUACAGAGAACAACCUUUAGGAACAAGUAGCAAUACACUCGAAAUACGCUCUUGAAUCGAGAAUUGCUAGGACUUCUGCCCAGUUCCUCGACUAUCAUUCGUGUUCAAGUUUCUCGUGGUGGAAAAACCAUCGUCCUCUACUCAUUGUCCUAGUUCGCUGCCCCACAAACGGUAAUCUUGGUACCUUUUCCUUGUUAUAUCUUACCCUUUUGUUCAGUAUGUUUGUAUUAGUUUAGGAAUCCAUGUUAGAUUUUCUGUUAUUUUGCAUAAAAAUGACAAUUAUAUAUAGUUCAAAGCUUGUGGUUUUUGCUCUAUGUUUAUAUGUACAUGAAUCACUUUCUAGUAUCUAAACAUUGCUCCAACAACUCUAUUUCUUUGUUUUCCUUUACUCGCUAUUAAACAUGGCCAUAGUUAGAGUCAAGAAUUAUAUUUCUAUACAUAUCAUAUCUAACUUGAGAUUAUGUUUGGAAAGUUUAUAUUGAGAAUAACUAUCUCAUUUGAAUAUAUGUACUUGUUUCUGAAUGCUCGAAUUAGUAUAAACUCAAUGACUACUAAUGUAACACUAAUGAAAAAGAAAUGUUUGUUUGAUGUGAAUUUACAAGUCUGUGAACUUCAUAAUUUAUUUAUUAUCUAGCUCACAUGUUUGAUCGAGAGUAUACUAUUUUCUAAUCAUUUUUAUCUCGUUUAUCUAUUUUGCAUGAACACCGGAGCCGAAGAGUUUCACUUGAGACUCGAUAAGGCCACUGAUGUACAGAUUCCAUUUAUUAUCACCCUCGUUCAUCUCUAUUUCGUUAAGACAGCCAACUUACAGAAGGAAAAAUCUUUUAUGGAGCUUACAUGGAUCUCGAUUAUUUUAUAUUACUUGCACAUCCUUACUUUUUCCUGCUUCAUAUUGGUUCAUACAUCGACCAACGGAGGAGAUAAUCUUUUCCUCUGUUAGAGCCAAGCAUGACCUUUAAUUACUUCAGCUUGUUUAAUUUAUUUGUGUUGAUGUGAUUAAUGUUUUGAGUUUACUUAUAUGUUCUCUAAUAUAUAACUAGUAGUUGUACUUAAUUUGGAGGUUUCUUUAAGCUAUGAGACAUUUCCCUCAUCACAU